RNAcentral lists this ribosomal RNA (500 nucleotides) under uncultured bacterium. RNAcentral describes it as "partial 16S ribosomal RNA". It matches the Rfam family "Bacterial small subunit ribosomal RNA", at positions 30 to 523 of the family's 1533-position model. The record is from RNAcentral.
AUUGAACGCUGGCGGCAGGCUUAACACAUGCAAGUCGAGCGGGGGAAGGUAGCUUGCUACCGGACCUAGCGGCGGACGGGUGAGUAAUGCUUAGGAAUCUGCCUAUUAGUGGGGGACAACAUCUCGAAAGGGAUGCUAAUACCGCAUACGUCCUACGGGAGAAAGCGGGGGCUCUUCGGACCUCGCGCUAACAGAUGAGCCUAGGUCGGAUUAGCUAGUUGGUGGGGUAAUGGCUCACCAAGGCGACGAUCCGUAACUGGUCUGAGAGGAUGAUCAGUCACACUGGAACUGAGACACGGUCCAGACUCCUACGGGAGGCAGCAGUGGGGAAUAUUGGACAAUGGGCGAAAGCCUGAUUCAGCCAUGCCGCGUGUGUGAAGAAGGUCUUCGGAUUGUAAAGCACUUUAAGUCGGGAGGAAGGGCUGUAGGUUAAUACCCUGCGGUUUUGACGUUACCGACAGAAUAAGCACCGGCUAACUUCGUGCCAGCAGCCGCGGUAA